AGAGGGUUCGGCCCUCGGCUGACGGCUCAGUAACACGUGGAUAAUCUGCCCUUAGGUGGAGGAUAAUCUCGGGAAACUGAGGAUAAUACUCCAUAGAUUUAGGAUGCUGGGAUGCAUCUAGAUUGAAAGCUCCGGCGCCUAAGGAUGAGUCUGCGGACUAUCAGGUUGUAGUCAGGGUAAAGACCUGACUAGCCUACGACGGAUACGGGUUGUGAGAGCAAUAACCCGGAGACGAUAUCUGAGACACGAUAUCGGGCCCUACGGGGCGCAGCAGGCGCGAAGACUUCACACUGUGCGAAAGCGCGAUGAGGGAAUCCCAAGUGUUUGCUCGUUAGAGUAAACUGUUUCUUUGUUUAAAACGCAGAGAGAGUAAGGGCUGGGUAAGACGGGUGCCAGCCGCCGCGGUAAUACCUGCAGCUCAAGUGGUGAUCAUUAUUAUUGGGCCUAAAACGUCCGUAGCCGGUUUAGUAAAUGCCUGGGUAAAUCGUGUAGCUUAACUAUACGACUUCCGGGUAGACUGCUAAACUUGAGACCGGGAGAGGCUAGAGGCACUCCUGGGGUAGAGGUGAAAUUCUGUAAUCCUAGGGGGACCACCAGUGGCGAAGGCGUCUAGCUAGAACGGGUCUGACGGUGAGGGACGAAGCCCU
RNAcentral lists this ribosomal RNA (647 nucleotides) under uncultured archaeon. Its description in RNAcentral is "bacterial SSU rRNA". It matches the Rfam family "Archaeal small subunit ribosomal RNA", at positions 61 to 713 of the family's 1478-position model. The record is from RNAcentral.